AACGAACGCUGGCGGCAUGCCUAACACAUGCAAGUCGAACGCGUGUAGCGAUACACGAGUGGCGGACGGGUGAGUAACGCGUGGGAACCUGCCCAAUGGUAGGGAAUAACUGCGGGAAACUGCAGCUAAUACCCUAUGCUCCCUACGGGGGAAAGAUUCAUCGCCAUUGGAGGGGCCCGCGUCGGAUUAGCUAGUUGGCGGGGUAAUGGCCCACCAAGGCUACGAUCCGUAGCUGGUCUGAGAGGAUGAUCAGCCACACCGGGACUGAGAUACGGCCCAGACUCCUACGGGAGGCAGCAGUGGGGAAUAUUGGACAAUGGGGGAAACCCUGAUCCAGCAAUGCCGCGUGAGUGAAGAAGGCC
RNAcentral lists this ribosomal RNA (362 nucleotides) under uncultured bacterium. Its description in RNAcentral is "bacterial SSU rRNA". It matches the Rfam family "Bacterial small subunit ribosomal RNA", at positions 29 to 416 of the family's 1533-position model. The record is from RNAcentral.